AAAUAAGUAAAAUGGCACUAGAUUGCAAUGCAAGUCAAGUCAAAUAUACGACACAUUUUUGCGUUAUCAGGUUGUUAUUUUUUUGUUGUUUUUUUUUUGAAAUUUAGGUUAAUAUGGUUAUGUUGAUUUACAAGUUUGAUUUAAGAAGAAGUUUGAAAAUUCAAUGGCAUAAGGCCAAGGUUUCUAAUCAUUAAAACAUAUCUAAGUUUGAAAUCACAAAGCAAAGAAAUGUUUUUGAAAAGAGG
RNAcentral lists this long non-coding RNA (245 nucleotides) under Lathyrus oleraceus (garden pea). RNAcentral's name for it is "Pisum sativum (pea) long non-coding RNA (PSAT_LNC022127)". Lineage: Eukaryota; Viridiplantae; Streptophyta; Magnoliopsida; Fabales; Fabaceae. The record is from RNAcentral.